AGAACGAACGCUGGCGGCGUGCCUAACACAUGCAAGUCGAACGGAAUGAGGGGCUUGCUCCUCAUUUAGUGGCGCACGGGUGAGUAACGCGUAGAUAAUCUGCCUGAUGAUCUGGGAUAACAUUUCGAAAGGGGUGCUAAUACCGGAUAAGCCCACGGAGUCUUUGGAUUCUGCGGGAAAAGGGGGGCUGUCAUCAGAUGAGUCUGCGUACCAUUAGCUAGUUGGUAGGGUAAUGGCCUACCAAGGCGACGACGGGUAGCCGGCCUGAGAGGGCGACCGGCCACACUGGGACUGAGACACGGCCCAGACUCCUACGGGAGGCAGCAGUGGGGAAUAUUGCGCAAUGGGCGAAAGCCUGACGCAGCAACGCCGCGUGAGGGAUGAAGGCCUUCGGGUUGUAAACCUCUUUCAGCAGGGAAGAAGCGAAAGUGACGGUACCUGCAGAAGAAGCACCGGCUAACUACGUGCCAGCAGCCGCGGUAAUACAUAGGGGGCAAGCGUUAUCCGGAUUUACUGGGUGUAAAGGGAGCGUAGGUGGUUUGGUAAGUCAGAUGUGAAAGCCCGGGGCUCAACCCCGGGACUGCAUUUGAAACUAUCAGACUAGAGUGCAGGAGAGGUAAGUGGAAUUCCUAGUGUAGCGGUGAAAUGCGUAGAUAUUAGGAAGAACACCAGUGGCGAAGGCGGCUCACUGGAUCGGUACUGACGCUGAGGUGCGAAAGCGUGGGGAGCAAACUGGAUUAGAUACCCUGGUAGUCCACGCCGUAACUAUGGAUGCUAGCCGUCGGCAAGCUUGCUUGUCGGUGGCGCAGCUAACGCAUUAAGCAUCCCGCCUGGGGAGUACGGCCGCAAGG
Molecule: ribosomal RNA, 851 nt
Filed under: uncultured bacterium
Lineage: Bacteria
Description: bacterial SSU rRNA
Rfam family: Bacterial small subunit ribosomal RNA
Source: RNAcentral